RNAcentral lists this non-coding RNA (45 nucleotides) under Schistosoma margrebowiei. The record is from RNAcentral. Lineage: Eukaryota; Metazoa; Platyhelminthes; Trematoda; Strigeidida; Schistosomatidae.
AUCCAACUGACGAGUUACAAACAGGACGAAACGCGCGUUUAGGAU